This 301-nucleotide ribosomal RNA is filed under the name uncultured bacterium. Its description in RNAcentral is "partial 16S ribosomal RNA". It matches the Rfam family "Bacterial small subunit ribosomal RNA", at positions 510 to 808 of the family's 1533-position model. The record is from RNAcentral.
CGUCGCCGCGGUAAUACGUAGGGUGCAAGCGUUAAUCGGAAUUACUGGGCGUAAAGCGUGCGCAGGCGGUUAUAUAAGACAGAUGUGAAAUCCCCGGGCUCAACCUGGGAACUGCAUUUGUGACUGUAUAGCUAGAGUACGGCAGAGGGGGAUGGAAUUCCGCGUGUAGCAGUGAAAUGCGUAGAUAUGCGGAGGAACACCGAUGGCGAAGGCAAUCCCCUGGGCCUGUACUGACGCUCAUGCACGAAAGCGUGGGGAACAAACAGGAUUAGAUACCCGAGUAGUCCCUGUCUCUUAUACA